Non-coding RNA from Ictidomys tridecemlineatus (thirteen-lined ground squirrel), 521 nucleotides. Lineage: Eukaryota; Metazoa; Chordata; Mammalia; Rodentia; Sciuridae. The record is from RefSeq and is a predicted model, not a curated record.
GGCCUGCAGCUGACUGGUCACAGAACCCGCAGCAGAGGUGUCCCAGGGACCACCAAGGAUAAUAUGGCAACUCGUCCUCCUCCUGCCCUUGCCCACCUUUUCUCUUGCAGCACCUGGAGGAUAGCCAGCCGAGGGAGACAGGUGAGGCCAGCCAGGCCUUGGAAAGCACACUCCUGGUGCACCAGGAGGCCAUGAGAGGUAUCCAGGCACCAGCCAAAGAGGGCAGAGCUGGGACAGGAAGCAGUGGGCACAGGAAGUCAACUUCAAAACAUUCCCCUAGCAGGAUGGAGGAACAUCAUGAGGAGUCGAGGGACCUGGACACCAGAGGGAAUUCCAGUAUGCUCACCCCAGUGCUGCCUCUCAGAGGUUCAGAUGCCUCAGCCAAAGGGCCACCACAUCAGAGAGUGUCAGAACUGGGCCAGACACCAGUGACACUGCCAGACUGAAGACCUCUCCACUCCAAGCAAGGCCCACCUUCAUGACCCUUCAACUUUCCCAGGGCUGGCAGUUCCUGGGGCUAC